UGCCAGAUCGUCUAACGGCAGGACAGAAGCCUCUGAAGCUUCCUAUCUAGGUUCGAAUCCUAGUCUGGCAG
RNAcentral lists this transfer RNA (71 nucleotides) under bacterium. RNAcentral's name for it is "tRNA-Gln". It matches the Rfam family "tRNA". From Rfam's summary of the family: Transfer RNA (tRNA) molecules are approximately 80 nucleotides in length. Their secondary structure includes four short double-helical elements and three loops (D, anti-codon, and T loops). Further hydrogen bonds mediate the characteristic L-shaped molecular structure. tRNAs have two regions of fundamental functional importance: the anti-codon, which is responsible for specific mRNA codon recognition, and the 3' end, to which the tRNAs corresponding amino acid is attached (by aminoacyl-tRNA synthetases). tRNAs cope with the degeneracy of the genetic code in two manners: having more than one tRNA (with a specific anti-codon) for a particular amino acid; and 'wobble' base-pairing, i.e. permitting non-standard base-pairing at the 3rd anti-codon position. The record is from RNAcentral.